Non-coding RNA from Mus pahari (shrew mouse), 2990 nucleotides. Lineage: Eukaryota; Metazoa; Chordata; Mammalia; Rodentia; Muridae. The record is from the annotation of a RefSeq genome assembly.
UUAGUCAAUCAUACAGUGGAAAGAGGGUGGCAUUCACCUCUCUGGGACAAAGGCUGUGACUCUGGGAAAGACAAGAGAAGGGCAGGACCCAAACAGGAAGAGAGACAGCUGCUUUCAUAGCUUCCACAUGUGAGUGGGGUCAGCAGGGAAAGGAGCUGCAAGAAGAGGCCACACGAACGGCAGGCAUCUGUGGCCCUUCCAGACCUUUGAGUCAUCCUAUCACAGGAGAUUGGGAAGGAGCUGACAGACCAGCCCAGGCAGAGGAAGCCUCUGUGUUGAACAGUAAAGGUGCUUGCCUGCAGCCUGGUGUCAACCAGGCAGUCCCGGGGCCAGGGAAGGGGUGGGGAAGGGGCCUCCGAGACAAGCACAGCCAUCUAGAGCUGCACACCCCACAGACAACAAGCCUAAGCCCCAAGGAGAUCAUGGAAUAUAUCGAGAAGCCUAAGGAAUGUGCUUGGCCUGGACUACAGGUAGAUAGAACCAAGGCGGCUGACGACUGUGCCAAAACGACACCCCCAUCUGUCUAUCCAUUGGCCCCUGGAUCUGCUGUCCAAACUAACUCCAUGGUGACCCUGGGAUGCCUGGUCAAGGGCUAUUUCCCUGAGCCAGUGACCGUGACCUGGAACUCUGGAUCCCUGUCCAGCGGUGUACACACCUUCCCAGCUGUCCUGCAGUCUGACCUCUACACUCUGAGCAGCUCAGUGACUGUCCCCUCCAGCACCUGGCCCAGCCAGCCAGUCACCUGCAACGUUGCCCACCCGGCCAGCAGCACCAAGGUGGACAAGAAAAUUGUGCCCAGGGAUUGCGGUUGUAAGCCUUGCAUAUGUACAGUCCCAGAAGUAUCAUCCGUCUUCAUCUUCCCCCCAAAGCCCAAGGAUGUGCUCACCAUCACUCUGACUCCUAAGGUCACGUGUGUUGUGGUGGACAUCGGCCAGGACGAUCCCGAGGUCCAGUUCAGCUGGUUUGUAGAUGGUGUGGAGGUGCAUACAGCUCAAACGCAACCCCGGGAGGAGCAGUUCAACAGCACUUUCCGCUCAGUCAGUGAACUUCCCAUCAUGCACCAGGACUGGCUCAAUGGCAAGGAGUUCAAAUGCAGGGUCAACAGUGCAGCUUUCCCUACCCCCAUCGAGAAAACCAUCUCCAAGACCAAAGGCAGACCGAAGGUUCCACAGGUAUACACCAUUCCACCUCCCAAGGAGCAGAUGACCAAGAAUGAAGUCAGUCUGACCUGCAUGAUAAUGAACUUCUUCCCAGAAGACAUUACUGUGGAGUGGCAGUGGAAUGGGCAGCCAGCGGAGAACUACAAGAACACUCAGCCCGUCCUGGACACAGAUGGUUCUUACUUCCUCUACAGCAAGCUCAAUGUGCAGAAGAGCAAUUGGGAGGCAGGAAACACUUUCACCUGCUCUGUGUUACAUGAGGGCCUGCACAACCACCAUACCGAGAAGAACCUCUCCCACUCUCCUGGGCUAGACCUGGACGAUUUCUGUGCUGAGGCCCAGGAUGGGGAGCUGGACGGGCUCUGGACGACCAUCACCAUCUUCAUCAGCCUCUUCCUGCUCAGUGUGUGCUACAGUGCUGCUGUCACACUCUUCAAGGUAAAGUGGAUCUUCUCCUCGGUGGUGGAGCUGAAGCAGACACUGGUUCCUGAAUACAAGAACAUGAUUGGACAAGCGCCCUAGGCCACCUCCUGUAAUGGCAGGGGAUUUUCCAGGCUCCAAAGGACUCUGUCCAGUAUGCCAAGCAGCACGACUGAAAUCGCACUGUCUGCUCACUUCACUACCCUCUGACCCCGAGACUCAGCUACUCUCAUGUCUUCCCCUCUCUGAAGGACCAUGUGGACAUUACAUUGCUACAGGCCACAACCACCAGGACCUAAAACACCAUCACAGAAGCACCAAAGACACUGGAUAGACCCACAAGGGCCAUAGUUUCCUCCACAGUAUAUCCAAUCUGUUGGGACAAAAGAGCAAUCACUGAAGAAGUGACAAGUGCCCACAAUAUCAAUGUACAGCUGAGAAGGGACAAAACAUGGUGCCAGCCCUGUCCAUACCACCUUCUAAUUCACAGGAAUACAUGAUAGAAAAGGCAGGUUUGAGAUCCGCAAAAUGAGACAGAUUUUAUCCACGUCAGAAAGAGUUGGGCCCAGCUGAAGCUAACUGAAUAAUUCCAGCGACCUUGGCAUUACCGUGUCCUGCCAGGUUCCUUCUUACCACUUUGAGGAACCCUAGGAUAUGGAAAAGGCCUGUGUUUCUCGGGGUUUGGGGACAGAACCAUCCAUGUUGGGAUUCUUGUAUAGAUCCUUCUUCUGGUCACAGAUUCAAUACACUGGAUUUUCAGGCAAAGGAGCAAAUUCACAGACAGCUCUGGCCCUGCAGGCCUAAGACCUAGACACCACCAUCUCUUUGGAAUUAUCAAAUCUAACACCGGGGACACAACAAAGAAGGACUGGAGCUUCACGGCCUUUGUGUAGCCCUAGAGGGGACAGAGGCCACUGAGCAGGGGUUGGGUGACCAGCAAGGACCUCCUGGAGAGGGACCUGAGGAGCAGGUUCCAGUUAGGCCAAAGGAAGAAGAAGAAGAGAGGUGAAGAACGCUGGAAAGAGUCAUGGUGCAGCAGUCUCGUCCUUCAGACCUGACUCUUACAGCCCAGGACUCUUAUAGUAGCUAGCUGGAGCAGAAGUCCAAGGAAUUGCCAUGCCCUGGAGCCACAGGCUACCGGAGGGUGGAGUGAGUCUACUACACCGGUCCAAUGCCUAGUUCUCCAUCGCUUCUCAGCCAAUGAGAAAUCAGAGUCUCCAAACAGGAAGAAAAAGGAAGGUGGGAAUGAAAAGUGAGCACCUGCCUUCCUGUGACUGGCAGGAAGUUCUCCAAAGACUCAAGGCUUUGACUUCAAACUUCCUGGAGAUCCCUGAUGUCUUUAAGGACUCUGUCUGCUUUGUUGGUUUUCUUUGUUUGUUUUGUACUUUGUCAAUAAAACAUUUUUCAAAU